Molecule: long non-coding RNA, 334 nt
Organism: Helianthus annuus (common sunflower)
Lineage: Eukaryota; Viridiplantae; Streptophyta; Magnoliopsida; Asterales; Asteraceae
Exons: 3
Source: RefSeq, a predicted model, not a curated record
AAAACCUAAAUGUUGGUAAAUAUUUUAGGCUGCUUAUGGUUUUCUCUUCUCCAAGACAUAUAAUGGCUGCUGGAGGAUGCUUAAUUGUCUUGGAAAUCUUCUACAAAAUGGACUUCUCGUUACUGGGCUUUUUGAUUUGCUGCAUUUUGUUAGGAUUCGGAAUAUAGGAAGCAACGUCUUUGGAUCGUGGGAAAAAGAUAAUGUGCAUAGCAUUGAUAUUACAAACGGGAUUUUUGAGGACCAAAAUGAGAGGUCUCCUCUUCCAACAUGAAGUAUUUGAGACUCACAGAAUCGUCGUUUUGGCUAUGCACAUCAUGAGUGUAUUGGAAGCAAG